This is a long non-coding RNA of Balaenoptera ricei (Rice's whale), 268 nucleotides long. RefSeq lists it as uncharacterized. Lineage: Eukaryota; Metazoa; Chordata; Mammalia; Artiodactyla; Balaenopteridae. The record is from RefSeq and is a predicted model, not a curated record. The transcript has 2 exons.
GUCUAGGGGUACGUCAUCACCCAGCGCCUAAGGAUCGACCUGCGUCUGGUUCCCUAAGGGAACAUCAUGAUCAUGACCUGACCUAUGUGGACAGCUGCUAGAGCGAAGGAUCCGACAGCAAGAAGUUUGCAACAACUAAUCAUUCCGGUCCCUCACCUUGCCUUUAAACAAGCUUUGCUGAAAGCCUUUGGCGAGUUCGGGACUUUUCUGGGUCAUGAGCCACCUGCCUCCUUGCAUGGCCCUGCAAUAAACAUUCCUCUGCUCCAAA